UACGUAGGGGGCAAGCGUUGUCCGGAUUUAUUGGGCGUAAAGAGCGUGUAGGCGGCUAGGUAGGUCCGUUGUGAAAACUCGAGGCUCAACCUCGAGCUGUCGAUGGAAACCAUCUGGCUAGAGUCCGGAAGAGGAGAGUGGAAUUCCUGGUGUAGCAGUGAAAUGCGCAGAUAUCAGGAAGAACACCCGUGGCGAAGGCGGCUCUCUGGUACGUGACUGACGCUGAGACGCGAAAGCGUGGGGAGCGAACAGG
This 253-nucleotide ribosomal RNA is filed under the name uncultured bacterium. RNAcentral describes it as "partial 16S ribosomal RNA". It matches the Rfam family "Bacterial small subunit ribosomal RNA", at positions 524 to 776 of the family's 1533-position model. The record is from RNAcentral.